This 493-nucleotide ribosomal RNA is filed under the name uncultured bacterium. Its description in RNAcentral is "partial 16S ribosomal RNA". It matches the Rfam family "Bacterial small subunit ribosomal RNA", at positions 27 to 507 of the family's 1533-position model. The record is from RNAcentral.
GAGUGAACGCUGGCGGUAGGCCUAACACAUGCAAGUCGAACGGCAGCACAGUAAGAGCUUGCUCUUACGGGUGGCGAGUGGCGGACGGGUGAGGAAUACAUCGGAAUCUACUUUUUCGUGGGGGAUAACGUAGGGAAACUUACGCUAAUACCGCAUACGACCUACGGGUGAAAGCAGGGGAUCUUCGGACCUUGCGCGAUUGAAUGAGCCGAUGUCGGAUUAGCUAGUUGGCGGGGUAAAGGCCCACCAAGGCGACGAUCCGUAGCUGGUCUGAGAGGAUGAUCAGCCACACUGGAACUGAGACACGGUCCAGACUCCUACGGGAGGCAGCGGUGGGGAAUAUUGGACAAUGGGCGCAAGCCUGAUCCAGCCAUACCGCGUGGGUGAAGAAGGCCUUCGGGUUGUAAAGCCCUUUUGUUGGGAAAGAAAAGCAGCAGGUUAAUACCCCGCUGUUCUGACGGUACCCAAAGAAUAAGCACCGGCUAACUUCGUG